Molecule: long non-coding RNA, 230 nt
Filed under: Brassica napus (rape)
Lineage: Eukaryota; Viridiplantae; Streptophyta; Magnoliopsida; Brassicales; Brassicaceae
Description: long non-coding RNA (BNAP_LNC006643)
Source: RNAcentral
UGGGUAUUGGGUGAGUUAAAAUAUGAUCAAAGUAACCAUGGUUUAGUAAAAGUAACUAUGGUUAAGUUACUUUAUGGUUUAUGCUUUUUCUAUAUAUAAAAGAGGGUGUUUGGUGAGAGGGGUAUCGAAAAAUUAGAGAGUUGUUGUAGAUAAAGUCUAAUGGCUCCUUUCUUUGUAUACCAUUUCUGAGUAAUAAUAAACAUAUCAUCUUUAAUUAUCUUUAUUGUUAC